This 253-nucleotide ribosomal RNA is filed under the name uncultured bacterium. RNAcentral's name for it is "partial 16S ribosomal RNA". It matches the Rfam family "Bacterial small subunit ribosomal RNA", at positions 524 to 776 of the family's 1533-position model. The record is from RNAcentral.
GACGUAGGGCGCGAGCGUUGUCCGGAUUUAUUGGGCGUAAAGAGCUCGUAGGCGGCUUGUCGCGUCGACCGUGAAAACUUGGGGCUCAACCCCAAGCCUGCGGUCGAUACGGGCAGGCUCGAGUUCGGUAGGGGAGACUGGAAUUCCUGGUGUAGCGGUGAAAUGCGCAGAUAUCUGGAGGAACACCGGUGGCGAAGGCGGCAUCCUGGACCGACACUGACGCUGAGGCGCGAAAGCUAGGGUAGCAAACGGG